RNAcentral lists this non-coding RNA (23 nucleotides) under Rattus norvegicus (Norway rat). The record is from RNAcentral. Lineage: Eukaryota; Metazoa; Chordata; Mammalia; Rodentia; Muridae.
CUCUUGAUUGCGAUUGCCUUGCC